CCUGGCUCAGGAUGAACGCUAGCGGCGUGCAUGACCCAUGCAAGUCGAACGGGUGAAGAAUAAGACAGAAGGCGGGGUAAAGCGGAAGCGAGAAAUCGUGGAAGGGAAGGAACGCUGGAAGGAAUUGCCUUUACCAGUGGCGGACGGGUGAGUAACACGUAGGUAUCUGCCUCAAGGCGGGGAAUAGCUGUUCGAAAGGACAGGUAAUACCGCAUAAGAUCGAAAGAUGAAAGGUCGGAAGACCACCUUGAGAUGAGCCUGCGGCCGAUUAGCUAGUUGGUGAGGUAAUGGCCCACCAAGGCGAUGAUCGGUAGCUGGUCUGAGAGGACGAUCAGCCACACUGGAACUGACACACGGUCCAGACUCCUACGGGGGGCAGCAGGGAGGAAUAUUGCACAACGGGGGGAACCCAGGUGCAGCAACGCCGCGUGAGUGAAGAAGGCCUUCGGGUUGUAAAACUCUUUUCUGAGGGAUGAGAACGGACAGUACCUCAGGAAUAAGUCUCGGC
Molecule: ribosomal RNA, 508 nt
Filed under: uncultured bacterium
Lineage: Bacteria
Description: bacterial SSU rRNA
Rfam family: Bacterial small subunit ribosomal RNA
Source: RNAcentral